Long non-coding RNA from Dalotia coriaria, 846 nucleotides. RefSeq lists it as uncharacterized. The transcript is spliced from 3 exons. The record is from RefSeq and is a predicted model, not a curated record. NCBI's taxonomy places the organism in Eukaryota, Metazoa, Arthropoda, Insecta, Coleoptera, Staphylinidae.
CACACGGCAAGCGGGUGUUUUAUUUCUGUUGUGUGGAACAGAAGUGAAAGGAAUGUGUGGUUAGGGUUGCCUAUAGUGCUGCCAACUUGCAAAAUGGCUGAAAAGCUUCUAGAAGACUAAAAACUUUCAAAAAACAAAUAAAAAUAGAAGUGGUUAAAACACUUCCCUGGACGUAAACAUAAACACUGAUCUUGUAUCUUCUGUGUUGAAUGCAAAAUUCCAGUUUCUACUCAGAGUUGCGCCGUGUGGCAACAUAAUUAUACACAAAGCUCCAUUUGGCUGAUGUAGCGCGCAUUGACGGCUCCAGGUCGAAAGGGUGAAAGCAGACCUGGAACUUCUACGUGGCGGCGCAGCUCUUCCGGUUACUGUCAUACAUCAAGCCGCUUAUUAAGUGCCACUACGUGUGAGCCCAAUUAAUCUAAGCGGCCCACAUGCCUAAUUGCUGUCAUAAUAACAACCAACGAGCAAAGAUUAUGCAAAAUGUAUUAUUCUGAUUGAGUUGAGUUUAAUAUUCUUAGUAUUUGUAUACUUAAUACACUUAGUAUAUAAAUGUUGUUCUAUUCCUUUGGUGAGUGAGAAUUAAACGUUCUCUAUUUUUGAAGUAGAAUUAGUUUUGUACGUUUAUGGAGUAGUAAACUAAGCAAUGCACUUAUCCAACCUACGUGACAUUGACGUGUCAACGCUGCGUCAAAGCCAUCAAAGUCAAGGUAUAUUUGAGGAAAAAAUCGUAAAGUCAUCAAUGUAAAGUUUGCGUUUGGUGCACGGAGGAAUGAAGUGGGUUGUAAAAGCAGGAGGAAAUUAGAAAUUGUAAAGAAUGUGCUAAAAAUAAAAUGCUUGUCCUAGGUU